UGUGAAAGUACUUUAAUUCGUGGGUAUCAAUUUUCGUGGUUUCAGCAAUAUUUACAUGUUCGUGGGUUUUUAAAUUCGUGGAUUUAGGUUUUCUAGAAAGAAAAAAAUAUGAAAAGUUGAAGCAUUUAAAAACGACGGUUACACUUAGUCUGGAUUGAAGGAAAUUGCUAAGUAAACAUUGACCCGUAUAAAUCGUAGUGACAACACUAAU
This 211-nucleotide long non-coding RNA is filed under the name Mytilus galloprovincialis (Mediterranean mussel). The record is from RNAcentral. Lineage: Eukaryota; Metazoa; Mollusca; Bivalvia; Mytilida; Mytilidae.